Molecule: long non-coding RNA, 1058 nt
Filed under: Monodelphis domestica (gray short-tailed opossum)
Lineage: Eukaryota; Metazoa; Chordata; Mammalia; Didelphimorphia; Didelphidae
Description: lncRNA (ENSMODG00000046923.1)
Source: RNAcentral
GUGAUGCAGAAGGAAGAGGAGGAGGACAAGGAGGAAGUGGAGCAACUCUUCUACCACCUAGCAUUAAGAAGAUUCUUCAGUCAAUUCUGUUUGCUAAUGACAAGAUGUUGAUUAUCCCAAGUCCCAGAACACUAAGAGGUCUCCUUUGUUCACAUUUCUGGUCACUGAAAAGAUAUCAACCAUUUAUGAAGUGCUGACUGUGAGCCACUAGGUGACACAGUGGAGAGAUUUUUGGAACUAGAGUUUCACCUUCAUAAAUUCAAUUCUGACCUCAGCUGUGUGAUCCUGGACCCUAUUUUUCCUCAGUUUCCUCAUCUGUAAAAUGAACUGGAGAAGGAAAUGACAAACUGCUCCAGUAUCCUUGUCAAAUAGAGAGAGUCAGACUACAACUGAACUACAACACUAUGUGUUGGGCACAGGGCUAGAGAACCAAAGACAGUGGGAAAAUCUCAUAUAUACAAAAUAUUUGCAGUGGCUAGUGAAUUGCUAAAAUAAUUCAAAGGAACAAAAGUCUGCUUUUAGUCUUUAGGCUUUUUAUAAUGCUUUAGCUUUUACUUGUUCAGUUGUUUUUUUCAUCUGUGUCCAACUCUUGGUGACCCCUGUGAAGACUGGAUUUGGCUCUCCCCUGAUUGUAACAAUGAAAUUACUUAGCUCUUUCUUUAUUGUGAAGAUUACAUUGUAAUCCCCGGUCUAUUUUUACAUUCUAAUCCCCAAAGUGUAAAUCCAGUACUUAAAAGUAGAUUUACCCAUUUUAAUCACAAAAAGGUAUGAACUGACUACAAAAAGGUAUGAACACCCAUUUCAUACAUUGAGUGGGAGGUCUGUGACCUGUGUCUGUGAUUGUAAAGGCUGACUUCUUUACUUACCCUUUCUGGAGGUGUGAACCUCCAAGAAAGGCCCAUCUCUGGAGACUCCUUUCCCCUGACUGGUGCCUUAGAAUUUCUAACUGGUUCAGAGGAAGUCAGAGCUUUUUCUCUCUCUCCUCUUUUCUCUCUUCCUUAAUAUCUUCCCUCUAUUGUAAAAAUAAACUACCAUAAUUCCAUUUACUUGAGUAAUUC